RNAcentral lists this ribosomal RNA (453 nucleotides) under uncultured bacterium. Its description in RNAcentral is "bacterial SSU rRNA". It matches the Rfam family "Bacterial small subunit ribosomal RNA", at positions 29 to 506 of the family's 1533-position model. The record is from RNAcentral.
AUUAAUGCUCGCGGCGUGCCUUAUGCAUGCAAGUCGCACGGUUACCCGCAAGGGUGAUAGUGGCAAACGGGUGAGUAAUACGUAGGUGACCUGUCCUGAAGUGAGGAAUAACCCUUCGAAAGAAGGACUAAUACCCCAUGUUAUGGCAAGAAUGAAGUUUUGCUAUCAAAGCCGUAAGGCGCUUGAGGAGGGGCUUACGUCCGAUUAGCUAGUUGGUGAGGUAACGGCCCACCAAGGCGAUGAUCGGUAGCUGAUCUGAGAGGAUGACCAGCCACACUGGGACUGAGACACGGCCCAGACUCCUACGGGAGGCAGCAGCAGGGAAUAUUGCGCAAUGGGCGAAAGCCUGACGCAGCGACGCCGCGUGAGGGAUGAAGGCCUUCGGGUCGUAAACCUCUUUUCUCAGGGAAGAAUAAUGACGGUACCUGAGGAAUAAGUCACGGCUAACUACGU